This 229-nucleotide unclassified non-coding RNA is filed under the name plant metagenome. Its description in RNAcentral is "partial contains small subunit ribosomal RNA, internal transcribed spacer 1, and 5.8S ribosomal RNA". The record is from RNAcentral.
UCUCCGUAGGUGAACCUGCGGAGGGAUCAUUACAGAGUCCUCGCCCUCGCGGGUAGAUCUCCCACCCACUGUUAUCGUUACUGUGUUGCUUUGGCGGGCCGCCGGGCCCCGCUCGGCCGCCGGCUCCGGCUGGCGCGCGCCCGCCAGAGGCCCAGCAAACUCUGAAUGUUAGUGUCGUCUGAGUACUAUAUAAUAGUUAAAACUUCCAACAACGGAUCUCUUGGUUCUG